CUUUAAGGCUAUACCACUUUCUUCUUUCAUGUAAGCAGGGUUUAGAGCUUUGGCGAAGGCUUUCCGAAACUUGAGAAGCUGAGCUUAAUCUGGUGCUCUAACGUCUCAAGUUCUGGCUUAAUUGCACUCGCCAAAAGUGCUCAUUUUUAACAGCUUUAGAUUUACAGGGUUGCUAUGUUGGAGAUCAUGGUCUAGUUGCUGUUGGACAGUCUUGUAAGCAGCUUGGGGAUUUAAAUUUGCGAUUUUGUGAAGCCUUAACAGAUGCAGGUUUAGUUGAAUUAGCUCUUGGUUGUGGGAAUUCAUUGAAAGCUAUUGGUAUUGCUGCUUGUGCUAAGAUAACUGAUGUCUCACUGGAAGCAGUGGGCAUACAUUGCAAGUCUCUUGAGACCCUAUCUUUAGAUUCUGAGUUCAUACUCGUUUUGCUGUAUUGUUUGCUCUUGGCAUGGAGAAAGGCAGUCAGAAUGGGGUUCCUUCACAAAAUCCAGAGUGGAAUGGGUAUCAGACAUCUCCAUCUCUCUCUCACAUUUCUCCCAUUGCUCCUCAAUUUCUGGCAAUCACUAUCUCAAUUUCAAGCUCUCAUCGGCAUGGCUUUUUGUAUGGAAAUUGAGCUAUGUUGAAUUGACUUGGCGGCUGACCUUUCAAUUGAAUUUGGAUAUCGGCCAUAUGAGCACACUUACAAGGUUCUAGUAAGGAGUUGUAUUCCCGCAACUUGAAAUUGCUUGUUCCUUUCUUUGACUCUCCAUCGGAUUGGAAAACAUUGAGAAGUCCAUACUAAAGCCUCAGUCAACAUUGCUGCUGUGCCCACAAUCCAAGGUAGUCAUUGGUGAUGUUCCUCAGCCUUAGGAACUGUGGAGACAUGAUAUCAAAGUUGUAGGCCACCUAAGUCAUUCUUGAAAGUGUAGGGGGCUUCAUCGAGUGUGGUGCAUGAUUGAGCAACAAUGUCUCACAACGGCUGCUCAGGGCUUGUGCACCAGCAUGGCUGCAUGACCAAACUAACAAAUGAUAUCUCCUCUGAAAAAAAAUUUGUGGUGGCAAAGUGGAAAUUAAGGACCUACCUGAAGCUUCCAUGGAGGCCUCUUAUUAGCAUCAACGGAAGUACGGUCUAUGAAUUAGACGGCGAGUUUAAAAUUGUAAGGCAUGCUGAGAGUUGGAGUGUUUCUGCACUUGAAGCAAUUGGCCAGAUAUUCACAUCUAGCGUUGGAUGGCUUGAUGAAUAAGAUAAUAAUUAUCAUUAUUAUUUUUAUUAGUUGCUGAUCAUGAUUAGAAUAGUAAUAGGAAAGUUUAUAUAUAUAACUUGCAUAUGCCAUAUAUGUAUUCUUUUGUGAUAUAUUUUUCAUUUUACAUUAUGGUUGGCUAAGCUCGUUUUGUUGCUAAAAUAUUGGUCUUAUGUUUAUAGUCCAGAUUUAAUUAACUCUUACUUAAGAAGUUGACUUGGUCAACUCUCUGGCCUUGGUAUAACUAGUAUUCAAGAAUAAAAUGAAAGAAAAUACAGGAACUCUAUUAGACAAUCAAACACAAAAAUCACAAAUGAUCACCAUUUGAGGUAUGAGUUGUUUAGCAAGAGGUGAGGUGAGGUUGAUAUUUGAGGUGUUGAAUGCAGCCGUGAGGUGUGAGCUUUUAGACUGGAGUGACUAUAUUUGUACUUUAGGUCCUGUUUAUAUAAAUGAUCACCAUUUUUACAGAUUCACACAUAUAACCACUUCUUUGCUCUUUUAUUCUUUCAAUUGAGGUACACGUCUUCUCUUCUCCACUCUGUUUAAGUGUGUAGUGGUAUAUUUGUAGAAGCUCUCUUUCUAUUUGUGAGUUAAACGACAUCUUGGAAUGUGCAACUUUGCUUAAUUUUUUAACUAUGUCAAUAUAUACAUAAAGGGUCUCCAAUACAACAAAUACUUUAGCACACUUUUGAAUGAUUAUGUUGGCCUAUACUUAUUUAGCACACUUAUCAUCAUAUAUGUGAACUUAUCACAACUACAUUAUAUGCUUCUUUAUAUAACAAAAGCAACAUUUGUUUUCUUUAGAUAAUAAAUAAUUAAGUAUUUCUCUAUUUACUUUUUGUUGGUGUUUAGAUAUCAUGUCCUGUUUAGAUAUCAAUUUGGAUUGAAAAAGAUAAUGAUUUUUUUUUAUCUCAAGUUGCUGAUUUUGCAUUGUAUUGUUAUUAUGUUUCUAUGUAUUUUAAUCAUGCAUAUACGAAUAUUGUUUAGCAAGGUACACUUCCAACUAUUCAUUUUCAUUUCUUUGAAAUCCUCAUAACUAAUAUAAAAUUAAGAGGAAUAUAGAUGAUACUUGGCAGUAUACAAUCUAAAAACAAAUUAACCGAUACACUUCUUUGUAAUACAUUUGGUUUAGCUUGGUUGCCAUUACUUUUAUAAUUCUGCAUUUUUUUCUUUGUCGUUGCUUGUUUGAUGAUUCUGCAUUGCUUGUAAUGUCUACAUUUUCUAAGUAUAGAAACACACCCUAAUUAUAAAGAAGAUUUACAUAAUCUCUCAUAAGAAAUCUUGACUAAACACUUAUUAAUUUAGUUUUAGAGUGUGGUAUAUAUGGUUUUGUUUAUGGUAGUUUACAAUCACCAUGCUUGAAUUUUAUGUGUUUAUUAUAUGCAUUAUUCUAGUGAAGUCUCUAUCCACCCAUCACCAUAUUCAAGAGAUUGAUCUUCUUAGUGAAAUGCCUUGAUUAGCUAUUGCCUAGCCAAUAUUAACUGAAGUUGCACAGAGUGAACUCAUCUAUAUGCCAAUUUCAACAUAUAUCGUGCAUAUUACAUCUUUUUUUGCACAUCAAAUUAAUAAGUCAGUCAAGUUCUUCUGAACCAAAGCGUCAUUUACAUGCAUUAUUUAAAAGGGUAGAAUAAGAACUUGUUUUGUGAGGUGACUCUAACUUGUAUUCUAAUAUCCCUAAAAUUCUCAUUUGGUUAACUAAGUCUUGCAUACUUCCGUCAAAGAGACUGAACCACCCUUUCUUUGUUGUACUGAACACUUUAAACAAAAAACCAACCAUUCUUUUUUUCUUUUCCUUUUUCUUUUUCUUUUAAAAAUUCAAAAAUUAAACACGAUGAAAGAAUAGCUUUGGAAUUUCUUCAAAAAUUUAUAAGCAUCUUGUGUAUAGUUUCUUUCUAGAGUAGGCCCCAAGACGAGAGAGGUUCAUGUUACAAUCAGGCUCACUUGGAAGAGCUCUUCCAUUCUGUCAAAAAAUCUAGCCUGUUCAUAAACAUUAAUCAGGAUGUUAUAUCUAUUGAUGUCUACUUUAUCUAUAGAAUGUCACAAGCUGAAAAUUUUGUUCAACAGGUUGAAAACAGAACUGAAAAAACUCUCUUUACAAACUUUCAUUUCACUGGGAAAGUCUUAUUGCUUGAUCUAUGGAAGAUUUUGCUAUGCUUUCUUUAAUAUGAUUAUUUCUGAAUUAUUAUAGCUUAAAUUAAAUUGUUUGAAUGUAGGUGGUGAUGGCUUUCAUUGGAGAAACUAGAGGAAUUCAAAAGUGAUAGAGUUGGAGGGUGACAAGAGUUAUGGUAAGAUAUAUUAUACAGUACAUACCCUAUAGACAAGGUGAGAAGCUUUUUAUGUAAAGCAAAAUGUAUGUCGUGUACCAUGAUUCUUUUUUUCUUAACCAAUAAAGCAAAACAACAACAAGAAGAAAUAACAAGUCUGGCUAUUAGAGACUGUUGGUUUAUACCUUAGGCAAAAUGGGGAAGGGUGAUGUAUGUGCUGUUAUAAUUUUGAUAUAUGUAUUUGUGAACAAAUUUGAUCAAGUCUUGUAAGUGCCAUUGUGGUUUUGGACUGUCAAACAGUCAAAGACACUCUAACUGAUGUCUUUUUUUUUUUUAAUGAAUUUUCUAAACUAAACUAAAUUUUAUGAAUUAUUCACACUGAUUAAGAACUUUAAUUCUCAUUUAGAAAAAAAAAAUUCUCUAUUAAGAUUAUUUUCUGGGGUAAAAAAACAUUCUAUAGUUUGUUAUUUUGAGGAUAAUGAAAUUUGAAAUAUCAAAUACUUUAAAAGCUAACUGAAAUUUUCUGUCAAUAUGAUUUGUGGGUCUUAAAGAAAUUCUCCUUUUCCGAUCGCCAUGGGAAAAAAAAGUUUGACAUUGUCCAUUGUAAAUGUGUAGUUCAAUUCGAGUAAAGUUAAUCUUUGCAUUGUUAAUUAGAUUCCUCUUAUCCAUAUGCAUAAAAGUAAUAAAUAGAAGCUAAUGGUUCUAUAUUUUGUUUGUUCAUAGACUAACAGAAAAGUAAUAUGUAAUACCAAUUGAAGAUAAGAAACUAAUAUUGUGUUGGGGUUCAUAUUUCUUAUUGUCUUCUUAACGUUUUCUAUUAUUUAAUAUAUUGUUUGUUGGAUUCUAAGGGAGCUUUGAGAACCUAGGCCCCAAUACAUACAUGCAGAGGAAGAUUAAAUUAUCAUAUAUAAAGCUCAGGUGUAGUUUUAGAAGUGGAAGAGAGUAGCUUUGGGCCUUAUCACCAGCAUAUAUAGCCUUCUUUGUGGUUAUAGAUUGGAAACAGAGGAAUUGUAGCUGUUGGAGAGAAUUGCAAGUCCCUGACAGAUCUUAGCCUUCGAUUUUGUGAUAGGGUCGGGGACGAGGCACUUGUUGCCAUUGGUAAGUGUAACUCCCUACAAUAUCUAAACGUUAGUGGCUGUCAUCAAAUUGGUGAUGCUAGAAUAAUGGCCAUUGCAAGAGGUUGUCCUCAACUUACCUACCUAGACGGGAGUGUUCUCUAGGUAUAUUGAGAUGAUUUCUUUGGAGCAAUUCUUGACAACAUUUGUAGUUGAGGCCUUUAAAAUGGAAGAAUGUAUUUCACUAAUUUUUGUAUACAUUUCUUGUUUUGUAUUUAGUGAUUAAGGAAUCUGAAUUGGGCAUAAAUUAUGUUGUAAUAUGAUUUCUUAAGCCUAGACUAGUAGACUAAAUAUUGUAAUUACAAUUUGAGUAAUUAAUAAAAAUCUAUUUAUGUUACCUUA
Long non-coding RNA from Humulus lupulus (European hop), 4935 nucleotides. RefSeq lists it as uncharacterized. NCBI's taxonomy places the organism in Eukaryota, Viridiplantae, Streptophyta, Magnoliopsida, Rosales, Cannabaceae. The transcript is spliced from 14 exons. The record is from RefSeq and is a predicted model, not a curated record.